Molecule: non-coding RNA, 74 nt
Organism: Leptolyngbya valderiana
Lineage: Bacteria; Bacillati; Cyanobacteriota; Cyanophyceae; Leptolyngbyales; Leptolyngbyaceae
Source: Rfam
GGGACUGUGGCUCAGAAGGAUAGAGCAAGCGCCUCCUAAGCGCUAGGUCGCGGGUUCGAAUCCCGCCAGUCCCG